This 5703-nucleotide long non-coding RNA is filed under the name Sinocyclocheilus grahami. Its description in RNAcentral is "lncRNA (ENSSGRG00000004295.1)". The record is from RNAcentral. Lineage: Eukaryota; Metazoa; Chordata; Actinopteri; Cypriniformes; Cyprinidae.
UGAAGCUGGAGUCACGUUCUCCACAGUUCCUGCAGUCUGCAUCUCAAAAGUCUCUAUGCAGUGUCUCAGACGACUUCAGAGUGGACCAUUUUAGCUUUGUUGACUGACUUGGUUGACUUCAGACUUGCAGUUACCAGAAGAAGGAUUCUUUUAAACAAUGAGAAUGAUGUUUUAUUGUUUUAUUGUUAUUUGUUCCUCAAUCAGAUGAUUAAAGCAAGAACAGCAAUGAAGAGGAUCCAACCUUUUACUAUUGGGACCAAGUUAUCUGUCCCCUCCGAAAACAAAUGUCUGGAUUAUGUGGGCAACAUCCUUCCUGUACCAGUUCUGGACUGCUGUGAACUAAGAAACAACUCUAGCAAUGACAAUUCUCCUUUCCAUGAGGAGAGAUUGUCCACAUCUACACCUGUGGAAGGACUUCCAGACGAUAUUAAAGAGGAAGAUGACAGGGACUCUGUGUCCCCAUCAGCUUCUUCCAGAUCCAUCAGGAAGAUUGCGAUGUGUGCAAAUGCUGAAAGCCAGACUGUCAGUGACUUUAAUGUGACAAACCAUGAGACAAACAAGCCAAGUACUUCUACUGAAAAGCUGUUUCUUGUUGAGGAAAGAUUGAGUGACAAGUCCGGUGCACAGCUGGAGACUGAUCCAUGGACUAAAGGAAGGAAGAUAAGGAACCUUCAUUACGACUACAGCACGCCAACUUUCCCACAUGAUCAACCAGAGGACGCGUCUCAGAGCCAAAGGAGAGACCUCAAAGACUUUGAGAACUCUCUCAUCCAACUGACGACAAGUCUGGUCUUGAUGCAGGAGGAACCAGAAAGACCUCUUCAGAAGAUGACAGAUGCUGUAGAUUUAGGAUUGGAAAUGUUUAGAAGAAGACAAAGCCCGGGGGACCACGUUGACAAAUCGUGGCUAAAGUUGAGGUCACUCCUGAGGGACUAUCAUCAGGAUCUCAUGUUGGCUCUAGACGUCUCAUCAUUUUACCAACAAGCCGACAGCCUUAUUGGCGCCAUCAACAGCAAGAGGAACCAUGUACUGGCGGGCGACAUCCCAAAAAGUGACAAAGAGACCAGAGAAAUUGCCUGUCAGAUAAGUAUGCUGAAUGAGUCUGCGUCUCGGCUGUCAACUCUCCACCCAACCCUGGCCAGAAGAGUUACAUGCAAACAGGCUGAGGUGAAGGAGAACUGGGCACUUCUCCAGGAGUUUCUCCGGAACCAGAAGACAGAUGUUUCUUCAAAACGCCCUUCAGCGUUACCCGCUGAUCCUCUAACCACAUGCCCUGACUCACAGAGCUUUGCUAGAAAUGAGGGUCACAGCAUAAUGGGAAAAGACGUCAAAGAAGAGCAAAACCGUCUCAGAGGAUUUGAGUGCUCUCAAGGCCUGUGGACCCAUAGGAUGUGGAGUCCGGUUGAGGAAUGUUCUAUAGGGAGUCAAGUCUCACUGUUGGAAAGCAGUUGUUCCAAGCUGGACAAUAUCUCAGAAAAACAGGACAGGAAGAGCUGUAUUGACCAGCUGGCUCAAACAACCCCUGUUUCCUCUCAAGAAUGUCUCAUACCCAAUAAUCUGUUGAAAGAGUCGACGAUAUCCACUGGAAUGAAUGAAGAGCAUGACUGCUCAAAGCAAAGACAAGACCACAAAAUAGAGGAGCUCCUAAGCCAGGUGGAGGUCCUUUGGGAUACUCUGCAAAAGAAAUAUGGAGAGAACAAUAAGACUGAACCAGCAGAAAAAGAACAAUCUGGAGAUAAAGCUGCACAUAUUGUGUCAGAUCUCACCGUUUCAAACAAUCUCCCGGAACAAGCAGAGGAAGGCAGUUCAGGAAUGCUUGAAAAGUUCCUUGAACUUCUGGAUCCCAGUGGUUAUCACAAAAUAAGUCAGGAUGUUCCUGGAUCUCUGCAUAGGCAAGAAAUGGCUGAGGCUGCAGAAAUGUCACUAAAUCUACUGAGCCAACAAACUGAACAAGAAAGAUCCCAGAAGCAGGACCAGAUCACUAAUGAGCUACAAAAUUCGCUAUCUACUCUAACACUGCGGAUAAACCAGCACCUCUGCCGCUGUGCUGAGCUCAGUAUGGACCUCAUGGACAUAGAAACAGAUAUGGCUGUGCUUUGUGACUCUGACCUCAGUGGUCUGGAGGGGCUACAGGAGCAGCAGGACGACCUAGAGGCUCCUUAUAAUAUCAUUGUGGGAGAGGUGAGAGAAAUGGAGAGACUAGACAGUCAGCUAAAGGUUCCUUCCCCAGAGCAGAGAGACCUUCUCAGGGAAGAGGUUCAGGCAAUCCUGCAGGCUUGGGAGGAAGUAGGCCGCAACAUGGCUGAAAACAGAGGCCGUCUGGAGAAGUUCCACCAGAUUCAGGACUACUUUGAAAACUAUCUUGCCAUGAUUACGUGGACAGAGAACACCAGAUCCUGUAUCCUUGCUGGCAGCUCUGCUUGGAGAGAGAGUGAAGUUGCAGAGAUUGAUCACAGCAUUGAAACAAAGCUGGAUGAGUUUAGCAAACUGGCUGCAGCUGGUCAAAUGCUUAUGCAAGAUGAGAGUCAGUUUAAAGACAUUAUCAAGGAGAGAACAGAUGAGUUGCAAAGCAUGCUGGGAUGGAUCCAGGUGAACUGGCACGUUCAAAGAGUGCAGCUUAAAAGAAACCAGAAUGGGAGACCAGAGUCAACAAAUGAUCCUGUUCUACAGCAGGCUAUACCUUUCAAAAAAACUUCUGAUGGUCUUUGCAUUAUAAAUGGAGAGGUCAAAGGAAGUACUGCUGAAACACAGCCCUCUCAAAACAACUUUGAGCAACAGAACGGGAGGCAUGAUGUGUCCAGUGUUGUUAGUCAGGAGUCCUGCCUUUCAAAGACAUCCCUAGGCUCUAGCAUCUGUCUCAUUUUAAGCUUUGAUGACCAGUCUUCAGGCAUCAACCAAGUGACAAAGCAAUGGUCCCCCAACAAUAAUGAAAUACUUGAAGAGUCAGCAAGCAGUAUUCAGGCAGACAGCUGUCAAUCACAGGACAAAAACUCAAUGCAAAUGCAACAGCCGAAUGAAACAGUCAAGAGUAAAGACACCAAACCCAAGUCAUCUUGCGUGAAUCUUGCACAGUUGCAAAUCAAAAACCAAGGAGAACCAGACCAGUCACCAAGCAAAGAAGAAAUAUCCAGCCAGUUGUCCACAUAUAACAUUGAAUCAUCAUUUUGCAAUCACCUACCAGAGAAUCUGCAGUCCAACAACAACCAAACAUAUCUGCAACUAUCACCAGACGUCGAUCAGACGCAAAAUUCAGAGAAUCAAGCGCAAAAAACUCAGUCAAAAAGCUACAGCCCGAACUCGAUGCAAAAAUCUGCACACAACAAUCAAGAAACAAACCAAAACCAAAGUGACGACCACCUGCGGGCUGAAUUGGCAGCUGAAGUCACUCAUAGAGUGUUCACGUAUUUGCACGUCUCGGAUAGUCACAGAUCAACAGGGCGAGUCUUGGAGGUCAUAUCCCCAACACAUGCAGCAGAAAAUGUCACACCUGAGAGGAGAACGGUUUAUAAUCACAACAGAUUCAAGCCAAGCUCUUUGUUCAAGCUGAAAGAGCCAAUCACAAAUAAGGAGGAAAACCAGCGAAGGAACUCACUGCUUGGCUCUGUAGGAUCGGAAAGGUCUGGCAAACCUUCAAGCAUUUUCAGGCGAAGGUGUAACACUUGGCCAGAAGGAGAAAGGAGAGUGAAAGAAAGUCAAUCAAACUCCAAACUUCAGGUUUUUAUUAAAAAAAACCUGUUGCCGGUGAAUUCUGUCAUCGAUAACAAGUCCAAUUCUUUUCCAGAAGACAGUUUGCCUAAUGCUGUCAAGACUUCAAGUGGACUGGUUAAAAACAUCUGCUCUUAUUUGUCUCUAGGAUCCACUCUUAGCUUCAGUCUUCCCAAGUGCUUUCACAACAGUGUCUUGGACAUGGAAAAUAAAGAGGAGAUUCAACCUGUCCAGAUUUAUGAUGACUCAGACAACCAAAAAAUACCCUCAGCUCGAACGCCACAGUCAGAAAUGGAGGUAGAACCAGUGAUACAUACUAAACAAACUGAAAUAAACCUUCAUAGAGUAGAUAUGGAAGAUUGGGACAAUACAGAAGAACCAACCACUGAGGUCGAAACCCAACAGCUAAGCCAAGUUUAUGAAAGCACAGAACCUGUCUUGAGGGUUUUCACAUCGGUUGAAUAUGAAGAACCUGAUAAUGUUUCCUCCAGCCGUCACGAAGCCUCUUCUCCAGUGGUCAAUGGCUCUGCCUUGGUCACUCACUGCAGGCCUCUGUGUCCUUCUUCAUCAGGUGGUCACGAUUGCUUAAGUGUUUACACAAAAAUAAAAGACCUGAACGGCCACUUAUAUUACACAUCCAAAUACAUGAAGAUAAACCCCUCAGAAAGAUUGUUCCCUAAUGGCCCAGGCUCUCGUAAGAGCGGCCGCGUCAUAAACUGUGGUGUGAGAGACUGUGCAGUGUGUUUCAGUGAUACAGUGAAAGAGACCAGUGUAGACUGGGCAGAGAAACCUGACAUUAGCAUGGAGGAGCUUCUUAAGCCAGGCCACUGGUUAUUCCAGCAGGAGGAAGAGGAACUUGAAGAUAUUUGGAGAGGAAAAGUGGGUAAUCUAACUUCAAACUGUACUGUGGAAACAAAUGCGGAUGAAGAAACAGGGCUUUCAAUCAAAACCAACAGGGGACAGGUAGCCCACCCACUCCAUGGAUGAGAUGGCUGUUUUGGACAUCAUUGACAAGAUGGAUUAUUUCAUGUAUCCAUUUAUCUGCUGUACAUUUAGUAUGCUGUAUGUGUAUUAUUGUAUUUCAGUUGUAUUCUUCUCUAUAUCAACAUUUAACUCUAAAGGUUGAUCUAAGAUCAUGUCAUAUACAAUGCAGAUACACAAUAGAGGUUUGAAAUUUCAUUGCCAAACUCCAGAUGGCGCCCUUGUCACGCUUAUGCAUACUGUGCAGCAUUAGGUAAGCACAGAGGAAUGGUCAACCCAAGUACAAUAAAAAAGGCACCUCUGUGCACACCCAUUUAGAGCUAACAACAGAAUCAGCAUGCCCAGAGACCUCAUCCUGCUGAUUCACUGAGGAAAUAAUAACAACACUGCUAUGAGAAAGGCCUUGCGUAUGAAUUACACUCUCCUUUAUAACCAAAUUCUAAUGCCGUAAGCUGUACAUCUUAGAAAACAGUUUGUAAAUCACUAUUGUGGAGCAUAUAUGCAGUUGAAGGGAUUGUUACUGUGUUUGUGUCGUCAUGCUGUUUUGUCAUUCUCACUUAUGUCACACUUUUUUGCACAAAAUAAAACUGAAACCACAUCAGUGCUAGUGUGAUUUACAUGCGGAUUGCUUCAAGGUAAAGAUAACAUACAUCGUAAUAAAUUUAGGUCAAUGUAAAGGCACUUUACAGUGUUGGAAACACGACUCUUGAUAGGCUAUAAGAUGACACACAUGUCACAGGGUAGCUCUCAUCAGAGCUAAAAAUAACUUGACAUUUUACUAGAGCAUGUAAGAUUGUUCAUGCCUAUAAUAUGAGGCAUAAAUUUGAUCAUAAGUCAACUUCUGACAAAUUAGCUUUCUCUUGCACGCAUUACGAAAGCAAUGUUAUUAGAAAUGUUUUAGAAAUGCUAAAAUCACAUUUUGAAAAGUUAUGUUUGGGAGUUGAUAUUUUAUGUGACAAUCGAAAAAAAUACUCCACCAAAGAUAAAUAUUUUGAGUAAAUAAAUAUAUGUUGGGAA